RNAcentral lists this ribosomal RNA (442 nucleotides) under uncultured bacterium. Its description in RNAcentral is "partial 16S ribosomal RNA". It matches the Rfam family "Bacterial small subunit ribosomal RNA", at positions 338 to 795 of the family's 1533-position model. The record is from RNAcentral.
CCUACGGGAGGCAGCAGUAGGGAAUCUUUCACAAUGGGCGAAAGCCUGAUGGAGCAACGCCGCGUGCAGGAUGAAGGCCUUCGGGUUGUAAACUGCUUUUAUAAGCGAGAAAUAUGAUGGUAACUUAUGAAUAAGGAUCGGCUAACUACGUGCCAGCAGCCGCGGUCAUACGUAGGAUCCGAGCAUUAUCCGGAGUGACUGGGUGUAAAGAGUUGCGUAGGUGGCAUAAUAAGUAGCUAGUGAAAUCUGGUGGCUCAACCAUUCAGACUAUUAGCUAAACUGUUAAGCUCGAGACCGUUAGGGGUAACUGGAAUUUCUAGUGUAGGAGUGAAAUCCGUAGAUAUUAGAAGGAACACCAAUAGCGUAGGCAGGUUGCUGGGACGGUUCUGACACUAAGGCACGAAAGCGUAGGGAGCAAACGGGAUUAGAUACCAGAGUAGUC